AGCAAAUUAGCAACUGGGACGGAGCAAUCAGUGUUAUUUACUAGUUAAUGACCCUUUUUUGGAUAUGCCUGUAAAUGAUAGAACGACUUUGUAAUGCUUCUAAGAGCAUAGAGUGGCGAUGAAAUGAAUUGAAGCAACACAUCAUACAACCAAACAUGGUCAGAAUUUCGAAGAAGUGCCUGCGAAACUUCAUUUGGAAGUUGGAACACGGAAAACUGCCCCUUUGUCUUGGCAGAAAUGAAUUGUGAAACACCUCAAAAUUCCUUGCGUUCCAAUCGAGCAUUAAUGAAUAAAACGAAAUGUCCUUAUCCGUAG
Molecule: long non-coding RNA, 315 nt
Filed under: Oryza brachyantha (malo sina)
Lineage: Eukaryota; Viridiplantae; Streptophyta; Magnoliopsida; Poales; Poaceae
Description: long non-coding RNA (OBRA_LNC003566)
Source: RNAcentral